CAUGUGAGAUCGCUGUCUUUUAUUUCCAGUUACCCCCAAGUCUCCUAACUAAAGCGUCUCCUCCCUGAUGAGGGUGAUCACUGGCUACAAGCCUGGGGCUUCCACACCCAAGGUCUGGGAAGCUGCUCUUUCCGGAAGGGUGGUAGAGACCCUGGGAACCAGACCAGGCGGGCUCACAAAGUAUGAAGAGAAUGUCGGGAGAGGAAGUGGUGGCUCUGAGUCAGCACGAGUCAUCUGGUUCUAGUGACAAUGAAGACUGAGGCAAGCUGCGCAUAUCUUGGGAUCUUCACAGCACAGUGGCUGGGAAGGCAGGCGAACUUGUCUAUCAGCUUCUCCCUGAAUAACUGGGAGCUGAAACAGGAAGCCCCAUGACACAGUUGAUCGAAAAUGACACAGACACAGAAAAAUCAGGACGUGCCCCCAGCAGCACCCCUACCUGCUGCCUGCUGAUCACGGCUGAGAGGCCCGCCCAGGGUUUCCACCCGGGAAUGGACUAACUACUCAGUGCUCAAGGGUGAUGGGCCUGCAGAGCUUUGGUGAUGUUCUUUUACAGCUGGUUUGUUAUCUUUUAAUUAAUCAACUAAUUAAUCUAUUAUUACUUUAUUUAUCGGCCCUCCCCCAUGUCUUGAUCCUUUUCUUCAUUAAAAGCAAAAGGAAAGAAAA
Mus pahari (shrew mouse) is the source of this 663-nucleotide long non-coding RNA. RefSeq lists it as uncharacterized. The transcript has 3 exons. Lineage: Eukaryota; Metazoa; Chordata; Mammalia; Rodentia; Muridae. The record is from RefSeq and is a predicted model, not a curated record.